This 253-nucleotide ribosomal RNA is filed under the name uncultured bacterium. Its description in RNAcentral is "partial 16S ribosomal RNA". It matches the Rfam family "Bacterial small subunit ribosomal RNA", at positions 524 to 776 of the family's 1533-position model. The record is from RNAcentral.
UACGUAGGGGGCUAGCGUUGUCCGGAAUCAUUGGGCGUAAAGCGCGGGCAGGCGGCCCGGUAAGUCGGCCGUGAAAGCGCCGGGCUCAACUCGGCGAGGACGGGCGAGACUGCAGGGCUGGAGCAAGGCAGAGGGCGGUGGAAUUCCGGGUGUAGUGGUGGAAUGCGUAGAGCUCCGGAGGAACACCAGUGGCGAAGGCGGCCGCCUGGGCCUUUGCUGACGCUGAGCCGCGAAAGCGUGGGGAGCGAGCCGG